UGGCUCAGGACGAACGCUGGCGGCGCGCCUAACACAUGCAAGUCGAACGAGCGAGAGAGAGCUUGCUUUCUCGAGCGAGUGGCGAACGGGUGAGUAACGCGUGAGGAAUCUGCCUCAAAGAGGGGGACAACAGUUGGAAACGACUGCUAAUACCGCAUAAGCCCACGGUGCCGCAUGGCACAGAGGGAAAAGGAGUAAUCCGCUUUGAGAUGGCCUCGCGUCCGAUUAGCUAGUUGGUGAGGUAACGGCCCACCAAGGCGACGAUCGGUAGCCGGACUGAGAGGUUGAACGGCCACAUUGGGACUGAGACACGGCCCAGACUCCUACGGGAGGCAGCAGUGGGGAAUAUUGCACAAUGGGGGAAACCCUGAUGCAGCGACGCCGCGUGGAGGAAGAAGGUCUUCGGAUUGUAAACUCCUGUUGUUGGGGAAGAUAAUGACGGUACCCAACAAGGAAGUGACGGCUAACUACGUGCCAGCAGCCGCGGUAAAACGUAGGUCACAAGCGUUGUCCGGAAUUACUGGGUGUAAAGGGAGCGCAGGCGGGAAGACAAGUUGGAAGUGAAAUCUAUGGGCUCAACCCAUAAAUUGCUUUCAAAACUGCUGGCCUUGAGUAGUGCAGAGGUAGGUGGAAUUCCCGGUGUAGCGGUGGAAUGCGUAGAUAUCGGGAGGAACACCAGUGGCGAAGGCGACCUACUGGGCACCAACUGACGCUGAGGCUCGAAAGCACGGGUAGCAAACAGGAUUAGAUACCCUGGUAGUCCAUGCCGUAAACGAUGAUUACUAGGUGUUGGAGGAUUGACCCCUUCAGUGCCGCAGUUAACACAAUAAGUAAUCCACCUGGGGAGUACGACCGCAAGGUUGAAACUCAAAGGAAUUGACGGGGGCCCGCACAAGCAGUGGAGUAUGUGGUUUAAUUCGAAGCAACGCGAAGAACCUUACCUGAUCUUGACAUCCCGAUGACCGCUUCGUAAUGGAAGUUUUUCUUCGGAACAUCGGUGACAGGUGGUGCAUGGUUGUCGUCAGCUCGUGUCGUGAGAUGUUGGGUUAAGUCCCGCAACGAGCGCAACCCCUAUCUUCAGUAGCCAGCAGGUUAAGCUGGGCACUCUGGAGAGACUGCCGGGGAUAACCUGGAGGAAGGUGGGGAUGACGUCAAAUCAUCAUGCCCCUUAUGACUUGGGCUACACACGUGCUACAAUGGCGUAAACAAAGGGAAGCAAUCCCGCGAGGGGGAGCAAAUCUCAAAAAUAACGUCUCAGUUCGGACUGUAGUCUGCAACUCGACUACACGAAGCUGGAAUCGCUAGUAAUCGCGAAUCAGAAUGUCGCGGUGAAUACGUUCCCGGGUCUUGCACUCACCGCCCGUCA
RNAcentral lists this ribosomal RNA (1366 nucleotides) under uncultured bacterium. RNAcentral's name for it is "bacterial SSU rRNA". It matches the Rfam family "Bacterial small subunit ribosomal RNA". The record is from RNAcentral.